GACGGCAUAGCUUAAUUGGUGAAAGCUCCUGCUUUGCAAGCAGGCUAUUGAUAGUUCGAGUCCAUCUGCUGUCA
Molecule: transfer RNA, 74 nt
Filed under: Chamaesiphon sp. CSU_1_12
Lineage: Bacteria; Bacillati; Cyanobacteriota; Cyanophyceae; Gomontiellales; Chamaesiphonaceae
Description: tRNA-Ala
Rfam family: tRNA
About the family: Transfer RNA (tRNA) molecules are approximately 80 nucleotides in length.
Source: RNAcentral